GAUGAACGCUGGCGGCGUGCCUAAUACAUGCAAGUCGAGCGAACAGAUGAGGAGCUUGCUCCUCUGACGUUAGCGGCGGACGGGUGAGUAACACGUGGAUAACCUACCUAUAAGACUGGGAUAACUUCGGGAAACCGGAGCUAAUACCGGAUAAUAUAUUGAACCGCAUGGUUCAAUAGUGAAAGACGGUUUUGCUGUCACUUAUAGAUGGAUCCGCGCCGCAUUAGCUAGUUGGUAAGGUAACGGCUUACCAAGGCAACGAUGCGUAGCCGACCUGAGAGGAUGAUCGGCCACACUGGAACUGAGACACGGUCCAGACUCCUACGGGAGGCAGCAGUAGGGAAUCUUCCACAAUGGGCGAAAGCCUGACGGAGCAACGCCGCGUGGGUGAUGAAGGUCUUCGGAUCGUAAAACUCUGUUAUUAGGGAAGAACAAAUGUGUAAGUAACUAUGCACGUCUUGACGGUACCUAAACAGAAAGCCACGGCUAACUACGUG
RNAcentral lists this ribosomal RNA (497 nucleotides) under uncultured bacterium. Its description in RNAcentral is "partial 16S ribosomal RNA". It matches the Rfam family "Bacterial small subunit ribosomal RNA", at positions 28 to 507 of the family's 1533-position model. The record is from RNAcentral.